UCCUACGGGAGGCAGCAGUGGGGAAUAUUGCACAAUGGGCGCAAGCCUGAUGCAGCCAUGCCGCGUGUAUGAAGAAGGCCUUCGGGUUGUAAAGUACUUUCAGCGGGGAGGAAGGUGUUGUGGUUAAUAACCACAGCAAUUGACGUUACCCGCAGAAGAAGCACCGGCUAACUCCGUGCCAGCAGCCGCGGUAAUA
This 196-nucleotide ribosomal RNA is filed under the name Enterobacter sp. M2(2015). Its description in RNAcentral is "partial 16S ribosomal RNA". It matches the Rfam family "Bacterial small subunit ribosomal RNA", at positions 337 to 525 of the family's 1533-position model. Lineage: Bacteria; Pseudomonadati; Pseudomonadota; Gammaproteobacteria; Enterobacterales; Enterobacteriaceae. The record is from RNAcentral.